GGGCCCGCACAAGCGGUGGAGUAUGUGGUUUAAUUCGAAGCAACGCGCAGAACCUUACCUGGCCUUGACAUCCCGGGACAACCUCAGAGAUGAGGCGUUCUCUUCGGAGACCCGGUGACAGAUGCUGCAUGGCUGUCGUCAGCUCGUGUUGUGAAAUGUUCGGUUAAGUCCGGCAACGAGCGCAACCCCUAUCCUUAGUUACCAGCAUUAAGUUGGGGACUCUAGGGAGACUGCCGGUGUCAAACCGGAGGAAGGCGGGGAUGACGUCAAGUCCUCAUGGCUCUUACGGCCAGGGCUACACACGUACUACAAUGGCAGAAACAAACAGUUGCGAAACCGCGAGGUCAAGCUAACCUGUAAAACACUGUCUCAGUCCGGAUUGGAGUCUGCAACUCGACUCCAUG
RNAcentral lists this ribosomal RNA (404 nucleotides) under uncultured bacterium. RNAcentral describes it as "bacterial SSU rRNA". It matches the Rfam family "Bacterial small subunit ribosomal RNA", at positions 917 to 1322 of the family's 1533-position model. The record is from RNAcentral.